GAGAAGCAUAAUAGAGGUGUAACGAUAAAUAUAUAUAAAUUACACACACACACACACACACACACACACGUAUAUAUAUAUAUUAUAUAGGGUGAAUUCAGGUUGAUUGGGACACUUUUUCCAAUUCAUCUCAAUGGUAUAUAUAGUUUAUUUAUUUAAGUAGAAAUAUAAUUGUAUUUUUUUAUUAAAAUAAAAUUGAUUUAAAUAAAUAUAUAAUAAUAACAACAAUAAGUAUAUAGAUAAUAAAUAUUAAAUAACUUGAUUUAAAUUAUAAAUACAUAAACAAAAACAUAUGAUUAAAAAAAUCUUAAAAAUCUUAUUUCAGAGAAAAGCAGUGUAAAAAAUAAAAUUAAAAAAAUAAAUAAAAAGAUUGAACUAAUACAUUUUGCUUUAAAUAAAUAAUAAAUAAUUAAAUAAAACUAUUUGAUUAAAAUAAAUUAAUAUAUCUAACAGUGGAGUGCUAAAGGGUCCGUGGAAAAGUUCAGAGAAGCAGUGUAAAAAAACUGGAUUAAAAUAAAUUGAUUUAAAUAAUAUAAAUCAAUUUAAUUUAAAUAAUAAAUAAAAUAAUUUAAAAAAUUCAAAUAAGAAAACAAAUUUAAUUAAAAUAAAUGAAUAAAUAUAUAAUUCAUCUAAUAAGGGAGUGCUGGGGUCUGUGGAAAACUUUAGAGUGUAAAAAUUGUAAAAAUAAAUAUAAGAUUGAACUUUCAAUAACAAAAAAAAUUAAUACAUUUGAUUAAAAUAUCUAAACAUUUGAUUUAACAAACAAACAUAUGGUUGAAAUAAAUAAAAACAAUUAAAAUAAAUAAAUUUGAUUAAAACAAAUACUACAUCUAACAAAGUACUACAGUGAGGAGAAAAAAAAAACAAUGCAAUGCAAUAAAAACUAAAUAUUUCACAAAUAAGAUUUUACACAUUUGUAAUAUAAAUUGCAAACUCGAGGUCUAAACAACUACAUUCUCCCCUAAAAACUCAAAACUUCAUUCUGUGACAAUAACAGCAGUAUUUGACAAACAAAUCCUCCAUCAUUGACACAAACGCUGCCAGUGUAGAUCCGGCAGAAACAAGCGGAGUGACACAAAUUGUGAAACCGUUUCUGAUUGCAUGGCUGGAAAAGGCUCUCAGCCAAUCAGAUUCGAGAACCAGAACUAACUGUUCUAUAAAUGAUAAUAUAUAAGCUAUUAUCGUAUCGCUGGUCAGAGAAUUAAUGUCGGAUCGUAUCGUGAAGAAACGUCCGAUUUACAGCUGAUGCAGAAUCCGUUUCCAGAAACUUUAUCAAAUCAUGAAAAUCUGAUCAUAAGUCAGCCGCAAAGAAAUGCAACGGCUGUUUGACAAAUACUAGAGAGGUGAAGUCAACUCAACGAACAGCGAGGGCGCGGCGAACGAUCACAGCGCUGCUGAAUCAGCUCGGCUGGCGUCGAACGCAGACCCCUGCUGGCUGGCUCUGAACACGUUUCUCUCGCCAAACAGCCCUUUCCCUUUCUCCCUCGACCUCUUCACGAACGCUCGAGUUACGCAACGGCCAGAGCAAGUAGCACACAUGUUCUGCAUACAAGUGUGUUGUGUAAGUGUGUGUGUGAAGAGGAACUGAAUCCGCUUUCUCCUUAAACAUCUUUAUGGUGAGAGAACUCACAAACGCUAUAAACAAAUCAAGCCGAGGUUAUGAGCGCCUCGUGAGGAUCUACACCACAUCAACGGCCCUCCAUUCAUCUUAUCAGAGCGGUGGUGAUGGACCUGCUACCAAAUGAGUUACAUAACUGAAUUAGCAUAUGAAGAAAGUUAGAUGUGCUGGAAGGAACUCUUUCGGGGGAAGUUUGGUCCGUUCCACUUGUCUGUUGUUGUGAAUGAAUUUCACAAAAAACUGACAACAACAUGAACAGAAACAACUAUUAGCUCACAGAAAUCAAGGCUGUCUUUUGGACCAAGUUUUCAUCACAACAUAUGGAAAACAAAGAACAAGUGUGUGUCCAAACUCUUGACCGCGAGUGAAACGGCCCUAAACCUCAUCCCUCAGUGUCCGACAUCUCAACCCGCCAUGACGCAUUUCCAUUGUGUUCCUGAAGCUGAUGGUUAUCUUGAUAAAACCCAUCAUUCAUUUCAACCCGUCUCAGACAGAGUCGAGCUUUCAUCGGAGCCGAAUCCGACAGCGUUCAUCACCAGAGAAUCCAAAGCACACAAACGCACUCAUGUGGAAGCGUGGAACAUGUUCUGACAGCUGAUUCCUGAAAUCAAAACAAUGCAUUCGCUGCUCUCCAUGUUGCGUAACUAACAGAGGCGAUGGAAAAAGGGUUUGGACAUGAUGCUGAAUCAUUCAACUCCCUCUGUUCUGUCAGGAGACGAAGCAACGUUUAUUUGAUUUUGUCCCUCGUAUGAUUUCCAGACACAAUUAACUCUCAUCUGUAAUCUCAGUAAAAACAGCAGAGAUAUGGAGCUAAAAUGCUCUCAAAAUCAAUGCAUUUACAAAAUGAAAUGCAAAUGUAAAUCAAAUGAAAAUGUAAAAUGUUGCUUUGGCAACUAGAUGUUUUUAUGGUUUUAGUUUUAGAUAAGUACAAUAAUCCUGCAAAUAUUAGGGCAAGGUAUUGACACAAACUUCAUGAUUCGAUUUGAUUUCCAUUCACAAGCUUGUGAUUCGAUUGUUCCAAUUUCAAUUCAAUAUCGAUUCAGUACAUGGCAGAUAAUACAGUAUAUAUGUAAUAUAGUGCAUAUAUUUAUCAAAAUACUCCUCUCUAGAGUUAUUUUUCUAGCUGAAUAGUCUCAGCCUCAGACAUCACAGACUGUUGGCUGAACAUCUGCCGUAUACGGCACACAAAAUGGGAAACACUUAAAAGAGUUUCGAAGUCGUCAUCUGUCGCCCGAUUGGUUGAAUUCGACAGGAUUUCCGGGAGACAUGCGUGUUGCGUUCUUUAACUGUUUGCCUGGAAACAAAGCUGUCAAGCCAAACCCCCUCAUGGAAAAAGAAAGCCAAUGAACGCUUACAAGGAUCAACGAAAUGCUGGAUUUUCAAAAGUACAUGAAGAUUGCUGAGUUAUUGUUGCAGUUAACAUUCUUGAAUGAAUAGUAUAUCAGAAUGAAAAGAAAAAUAUAUAUUUUUCUAGGAACAUUUACUUUAUAUUUUCAUCCCCCCAAACAUGACGCAGAACAAAAAGUUCUAGAGAAACCAUCACUCAUUUUCUAAAAAAAACAAAAAAAAAACAAAAAACUUUUUAACCACAAAUGCUCGUCUUGCACUGCUCUGCGAUUCGCCACGCGUUACGUAAUCACGUUGGAAAGGUCACAUGUGACGUAGGCGGAAGUACCGCGGUAGGGUGAAAAACUCAAUCUCAUUUUCUCCUCCAACUUCAAAAUCGUUCGACAUCACUGUUUUACCUUUUUUUGUUAAGGGCAUUUGACUUAGUCUUUGCAGGUUUACUUUGUAAACACUGGAUCGGUACUUCCUCCAACAUCACGCGUGACCUUUCCAACGUGAUUACGUAAUGCGUGGCGCAUCGCAGAGCAGUACAAGACAAGCAUUUAUGGUUAAAAUGUAUAUACAUUUUUAUUUUAUUUUAGAAAAUGGCCGAUGGUUUCUCUAGAUAAGACCCUUAUUCCUCGUCUGGGAUCAUGUAGAGCUCUUUGAAGCUGCACUGAAACUGACAUUUGGACCUUCAACCCGUUGAACCCCAGUGAAGUCCACUAUAUGGAGAAAAAUCCUGGAAUGUUUUCCUCAAAAACCUAUAUUUCUUUUCAAAUGAAGAAAGAAAGACAUCUCAUAUGACAUGGGGGUGAGUAAAUUAUUAGGAAAUUUUAAUUAUGAAGUGAACUAAUUCUUUAAUACAGUAAACAGGGUGAACUCUCAUGCCAUGUUAACAUUACCCACUUGAAUCCUUAAAGAUGAUAUUCCACCGCUCUACCCGACUCGUCUGUACACGUUUAAUGAGCUACUGUGAUGGAAUAACAUGAAUCAGUACUGAUCUCUGGGCUAAAACUGUGGAAAGUAAGCACUAUCAAACCCUCCCUGAAAGAUGCCUGGAAUCAAGAGCAAGUCAUCCAAAAGAUGCCCAACUCUAUUCUAGUGUUGAUUUUGUGGCCUAUUAUCACACUGUAAAGAGUUUAUUUCCAACUCCAAACUACAGCUUCAUUUCUGCAUGUACGCUCCAGCUGAAUUUCAUGGUCUGAAUAAAAUGGCAGACGUUUUGUUCAUCUGUU
This is a long non-coding RNA of Ctenopharyngodon idella (grass carp), 4182 nucleotides long. RefSeq lists it as uncharacterized. The transcript has 2 exons. NCBI's taxonomy places the organism in Eukaryota, Metazoa, Chordata, Actinopteri, Cypriniformes, Xenocyprididae. The record is from RefSeq and is a predicted model, not a curated record.